ACGGGAUUCAGGUAGCAAUACCUGAUGAGAGUGGCGCACGGGUGCGUAACACGUAUGCAACUUGCCUUAAACCGGGGAAUAGCCCGUGGAAACAUGGAUUAAUACCCCAUAAUAUUAUUGGUAGGCAUCUACUGAUAAUUAAAAUUCCGAUGGUUUAAGAUGGGCAUGCGCGUCAUUAGCUAGUUGGCGGUGUAAUGGACCACCAAGGCUACGAUGACUAGGGGGUCUGAGAGGAUGUCCCCCCACACUGGUACUGAGACACGGACCAGACUCCUACGGGAGGCAGCAGUAGGGAAUAUUGGGCAAUGGUCGCAAGACUGACCCAGCCAUGCCGCGUGCAGGAAGACUGCCCUAUGGGUUGUAAACUGCUUUUGUACGGGAAGAAACCCCUCUACGUGUAGAGGGCUGACGGUACUGUAAGAAUAAGGAUCGGCUAACUCCGUGCCAGCAGCCGCGGUAAUACGGAGGAUUCUAGCGUU
Molecule: ribosomal RNA, 479 nt
Filed under: uncultured bacterium
Lineage: Bacteria
Description: bacterial SSU rRNA
Rfam family: Bacterial small subunit ribosomal RNA
Source: RNAcentral